UACGGUGAAGUGUGAUACAGUGUUCAUGGU
RNAcentral lists this non-coding RNA (30 nucleotides) under Mus musculus (house mouse). The record is from RNAcentral. Lineage: Eukaryota; Metazoa; Chordata; Mammalia; Rodentia; Muridae.